AUGGCUUCUGCGGCCGUCUGCUCCCCUAAGCAGCAGCAGCAGCGGCAGGAGGAGGAUGGUGGGGUUGUCAAGAUCGGGCGGGUGGACGACGUGCAGGAGCUGCAGAGGGCGUGCGUGGACGACGUGCCGGAGCGGUACGUCCGGGACGGCGACGACCGGCCGGGCGGCGCUAACGUGUGCGCGCACGCGGAGAUCCCCGUCAUCGACGCCGGCGAGCUCCGGCGCGGCGGCGGCGAUGGGGACGAGCUGGAGAAGCUCAGGCAGGCCUGCGAGGAGUGGGGCUUCUUCCAGGUUGUGAACCAUGGCAUCGACGGCGAGCUGCUGGACGAGAUGGAGAGGUUGUCGAGGGAGUUCUUCAUGCUGCCGCUGGAGGAGAAGGAGCGGUACCCCAUGGCGCCGGGCGGCAUCCAGGGCUACGGCCACGCCUUCGUCUUCUCCGAGGACCAGAAGCUCGACUGGUGCAACAUGCUGGCGCUCGGCGUGUCCCCGGCGUUCAUCCGGCAGCCCAUGCUCUGGCCGACCACGCCGGCCGCCUUCACCGACACCCUCGAGAGGUACUCCGCCGAGGUCAGGGCGCUCUGCCAUCGUCUCCUGGAGCACAUCGCCGAGACGCUGGGCCUGGCGCCCGGCACGUUCGCGGGCAUGUUCGGCGACGCGGUGCAGGCGGUGCGGAUGAACUUCUACCCACCGUGCCCGCGGCCGGACCUGGUGCUGGGGCUGAGCGCGCACUCCGACGGGAGCGCGGUCACCGUGCUCCAGCAGGACGCCGGCCGCGCGGGGCUACAGGUGCUCAGGGACGGCGCCUGGGUGCCCGUCCACCCCGUCCCGCACGCCCUCGUCGUCAACCUCGGCGACUCGCUCGAGGUGCUCACCAACGGCAGGUACAAGAGCGUGGAGCACCGGGCGGUGACCAACGGCGAGCAGGACCGCCUGUCCAUCGUGACGUUCUACGCGCCAGCCUACGACGUCGAGCUCGGCCCACUGCCGGAGCUAGUCGCCGACGGGGAGCCCUGCCGGUACCGGAGGUUCAAGCACGGCGAGUACAGCCGGCACUACGUCACCAGCAAGCUCGAGGGCAAGAAGACGCUGGACUUCGCCAAGAUCAACUAG
Molecule: ribosomal RNA, 1110 nt
Filed under: Triticum aestivum (bread wheat)
Lineage: Eukaryota; Viridiplantae; Streptophyta; Magnoliopsida; Poales; Poaceae
Description: partial small subunit ribosomal RNA
Source: RNAcentral